Molecule: long non-coding RNA, 6128 nt
Organism: Hemibagrus wyckioides
Lineage: Eukaryota; Metazoa; Chordata; Actinopteri; Siluriformes; Bagridae
Exons: 4
Source: RefSeq, a predicted model, not a curated record
CAAUUUGAAUGCGAAGCUGUUGGCUAUUGUGAUAUUACUUUAUUUUAGCAUCAAAGCUCCAGCUUUAAAUAAAGUAAAAAACAUCAGAUGCUAAACAUCAUGGCUGAUUAAAUGCUCUCGGGGUAUGUUUUUUUUUCCCGGUUAGAUAAGGAGGAAAUUUUCUCUUGCUCCAGCGUGCUAUAAAGACAGAUUCAUCCACUUCGUCAUGACUACUGGCAAGUUCUUUAUAAAAAAAGGAAGUAAAGUAGAAUUAAACUUCUUACCUUGUGCAAAAGUUUGCGUUAUUGAUGAUGGCAGAUCUGGAGUGUAUCAUUAGAGAUGUCUUACAGCUUAAGAUCAGCCCUGAAGCACGAUUAGAUGAUGAAAAAUGAAGAAAAAAAAGAAGAAGAAGAAGCCGAAAGCAAGUCUCCAAAAGCAACUUUUGUAAUAAAACCUAAAACACAGACUGGUGAUAAUUGGAGAAUUUAAUGACAGGAAGUUCAAAGAUAUGAGGGAUAUGGUGUCGAUGCUUCCACUUUCAGCCGCCCGUCGGUGUCGAUCCUGGCCAAAAGCGACACGACAGCCAGGAGAACAAGUCCAUUUGUCACGAGCCAUUUGGAGUAAUUUAAUCCUGUUUACACACAGCCACUGUGCUGGGCCUCGAACUUCGCCUCAAGGCCGCAGGGAGAAGAGACGAGGAUUUGCAGAAAUGGCAGACGGCCAGGAAAGGUGAGAAACAGAUGCAAGUCUGCAUACGCUGGACACAUUAUUGGAUCGAUCUGUGGCCAUGACCCACGCUGAAGAGAGCCCUUAAAGGAUGGACAACGCUACCUGUAUUGGAGAACUAUGCCUGGUCAAGCUGCAAAGACACCUCUGCGGUCCGCCCCUUGCCACGCUGCCUUUUCUGCCACCAGGACCGACAACCCUCCUCCGUCUGGCCCCCUGACCAGCGCCUCCAUCUACAGCACCUCAAGUUACGUUACCACUUUCUUUUUUCUCCCUCUUUUUGUUUCCUUCUGCUUCCCUCACCUCUUACCCCCCCCCCCCCUUCACUUACUUAAAUUAUAAAUAAACUUCUUACACCAUUUCUCCCACACUGUUGUAUUGUGUGUGCUUGGAUAAAAUGAGAUUUACAUUUACGGCAUUUGGCAGAUGUCCUCAUCCAGAGUAACUUACAACUUGCAACUUUAUCUCAUCUAUACAAAUGAAUAAAUAUGUUUCUGGCUAAGGUUAGGCCUAAAACAUUGUAUGCUAAUAUGGGGGAUGCUAUGUAUCUGACAAGCACAUUAAGGCUUUAAGCUACACAAAUUAAAUUUCUCUUUUUUGAUCAGAAAUGUGCCAUGAUAUAACAUUUCUCAAACACAUGCUGCAUUCUGAGCAUUGCCUCAAGAGGUGCUGUGGCCAACUGAAGAGCAGAAGCUUUUCUCUCUGUCAUGACAACACGUCAUGUUAUAUCUGAUGCUCUGAUCAACCAGGUAUUAAAAAAUCCCAGGUUCAGUGGUUAAGACAUUGAUCUGUUGAUCAGAAGGUUGUCAAAUCAAAUCCCAGGACCCCCAAGCUGCCAAUGCUGGGCCCUUGAGCAAGGCCUUUAACCCUAAGCUGCUCAGUUGUAUAAGUGAGAUAAAUGUAAGUCGCUCUGGAUAAGGGCAUCUGACAAAUGCUGUAAAUGGAAUGUAAUGCAAAAUGAAAAUAGAUUUGUCAAGCCAAGAAAAGGUGGAAGGUCCUCCAUAGAAAUGGCGCAGGAACCUGUUCUGUUUUUUUCUUUGACUUACUGUUCACACUGUUCUACCGUGUCCACUAAUGUUAGUAGAAAUGUCUGAAAAAGUUGUAAAGACUCUUUCUCACCCUCUAGAAUACCAAGCAGUGUAACCACUAUGGCAAGGAAAUGCAUACAUAGCAUAUGUUUUCAUCUGUUGAUGAUGAAAGCGACAAUCCAUGGACCUGGAUUAUUACUUCUCUGUAGCAUUCACUGAUUUAUUUCUCUCAGGAGGAUCUGUAACAUCUUUCUGACAUAUUGGUAGCUACUAUUACACCAAAAUUAUGGUGAGAAUUGAAGCUUUUUUUAUCCCAUGAUCCUAAACCAGAGAUUUACAGUGAUUGACCACAAGAAACCUCUACGCAAGAAAAAAAAAAGACUACAAAACAACUCUCAACUUGUUAGAUGUUUGCAAUUAUUUAUAAAGGUUGGCUGGGUUUGCGAUGUUAAAACAGUUUUCAAUAAAAUGUUGCUCUUUCUUUACUACAAGUGAAACUCUUGACACACUCUAUAAUGAGACUUAAGAUAAAAGAACAUGGCGGACAUUAAAGCGCAGCCCGACGUAACACAUCUUCAAGCCGUGAAACUGCAGAGCCUCAUUAUUCAUUACUCCUCUAAUCAUCUCCCUUACUUUCCGCUCUUAAAGCAGUAGACGGAAACGAUCCGACGAUGUUACCGCUAAUUCUGACCACCGUGUAAUGUCUUGUUAAAGACUAAACACCACGCUCUUGUUGCUGUGUGUUUGUUCAGUCUGACGAGUGUGUGUACGAGAAUGAGAAGAAAAAAAAGAAAGGCCAAGUGGUACAGUAAGUGCAAAUAAAAGGAGAUGGAUUUGAAAAGCCUUAAGCAAAGAAGCUAAAGGACUGGAAUGGAAUAGUUCACUUCAUCACCAGCUUUUUUUUUUCUUGUGUAAAGUGAGAAAAGCAUUUAACUAAAGCUUUUCAGCUAAAGAAAAAAAUGUGAAUUAACCUUUUCUUUUGGUUUGUCUAGAGUCAGGAAUGCAAAUUCCAGUCUAUUCCGACUCAGACGGAGCUGAAACGAUGAAUUAAAACAAAAACAGCCAUGUGACCCGUACACCCGAUUGUCUUCAUUUACUGUUAGGAGAAAUUACACACUCUUUUCAUGAAUAUUUUAGCAUCGAGUGUCAUUAUCUACGUGGCAUGAAGCUUCUGUAAUCAGUGGAAUAAAGUUAACUUCUUUAUUUCCCAAGAAGCCAGAAAAUAAAAUUUCCACCUGUUUUUGUUGUGUCCAUGUUGAUGAUUGAAUGUAUUUGUUAUGUUCCACUCCACAGUGGUGGUUAAUAUGAAGCUCAUAUGUAAGUAGACACUCAGGACAGUACUGCAACUUCAGUGACAAAGGCACGUCAUAGAAAGAGGCGGAAGUAGAUACAGCCUCUGUUCCUGUCAGUCUUAGAGAAGAAGGUGUGGCCUCAAUAAAGUAGGGCUAGCCUCUGUACCUGUCAGUUUCAGUAAAGGAGGUGUGGCCUCUGUGCCUGUCAGGUACAGUGAAGGAUGUGUGGCCUAUAUUUAUAAAUUUCCCUAGUCUAGUAGGGGUUAAUAUAUUCAUAGAAAAGAUCCAGAAAAACAAAAAUGGUUAUUUUUUUGGGAAGUAAAUUGUGACAUCAAACCUAUUUCUGCUGUCUGAGAUGUUCAUAAGCAGCUCAAGUUCUUGAAGGUGUUAUCUUCAACCACUAAAAUUCAGUGUAAGGUUAUCCCACUGAGGGAAAAGCAAACAUCUCACACUGAAAGCCAACAGUGAGUCCUGACUCACUUUCUAUCAGACUCAUGACUCAGAUAGCUGCAGCAAUCAACAAUCACAAAAAAAACCACUGAAAUGCUGAAAGGACCGGCGAAAGCAUUUCACAUUCAUGUUCCUUGAUAUCCAAAUCAAAUGUAUUCAUUCAUUAUGCUUCAGUAAGUGCUUUAUCCUGGUCAGGUUCAAGCCCAGGGUCAACUCUGUGUGUUACUUCUAUCAAUCAUGCAAAAAAAUAACUAGUUUCAGCUUGAUCCUGUGAGUUUUGCUCUUUUAAUUAGUCCAGGUUCAUAGAUUUCUCUGUUUUUAAUGCUGCAUGUUUGUAAGGAGCAUGUUUUCAAAUCUCUUUACUCUUGUGGAUUAGUCCAAAACUAAAAAUAUAGAAAUAUCCUUUUUAUACGGCUGAUAUGCUGAUGACACUCAACUCAUCUUUUCCUUUCCUCCAUUAGAUGCUCAUGUUUCUACAACAAUCUCAUCGAAAUCUCUGGUGGACAUCUUGUCACAGAUGGCAGCUCAGUUGAAGCAAAAUCCAGCAAGCCUGAGCUGCUGUAUCUGUGAGUAUCCUCUGAGAUGCAUCCUCAUGUCAAGAUCUUGUGAUCUCCCUGGACAGCACUCAGAUCUGACACUUCACACAACUUCAGGGAAACCACAGAUAGAACAACCAACUGUCUUUCUUUCCUCACAUCCCUAGCCAGACUCUUUCAAGGUUUCUCCUUUAGAACAUAAGAAACUUCAGGAUCUGGCCAUUUUGAUCCAUGGAGGUGUUUUUGGACAACUCAAAAACCUAGAAUACUGUAACUCGUUCCUGUGACUGAUCCAGAAGGUUACAGGAGUUACACUGGUUUUCAUCUUUGCCAAAAGCAAACCAGGGAAAGAACAACUGAUUGUCCUUCUUUUCUCACAUUGACUACCAGGCUCUGUUGAGGAUUCUCUUUUAGAACAUCAGGAAAAUCUUGAUCUUACCAGUUUGAUCCAUGGAUGGUCAUCUUGAACACCCACUGACUGCCAGGCUCUGUUGAAGAUUCUCCUUUGGAUCAUCAGAAAAAUCAGGAACUGUCCAAUUUGAUCCAUGGAUGGUCAUCUUCAACCUACAGAAUACUGUAACUCACUCCUGGAAGGUCUGUGACUGAUCGAGAAAGUUAUAGGAAUUACACUGGUUUACAUCUUUGCUGAAGGGGAAUCAGGGAAAGAACAACAGACUCUCCUUCUUCUAUCACAUUGAUUGUCAGACAUUGCCAAGGACUCAUCAGGAAAAUCAGGAAAAUCAGGAUCUGACCCUUGUUUAAUCCAUGUACGGUCACAUCUUGAACACCUGGAAUACCGUAACUCACUCCUGAAAGGUCUGUGAUUGAUCUAAAAAGUUACAGGAGUUACACUGGUUUUCAUCCUCUCCAAGUUCUUGCAGCUUCACUUCCUCCAAUGACUUGCUGAAGCUGCAGAUUUCUAAUGCCUCCAAAGCCAAACCCUUUUACUACAGCUCAACUGGACUCACCUUCCCUUAAGGUACAAGUAAGAUAUGAAACAAGACUUGUCUUUUUUCCUGGUACUCAGGUGGUGGAAUAAACUCACCCUGGCUGUCUGACCACUAGCUUUCUUGAAACAAAAGACUUACGACUUUACCAAGCACUUGAAUUAGGAUUUAAUUAAUCCCUUGUGUGUUGUUUUUUUCAUUCUGUACUAAUCUACUCCUUUUUUUUUUGCUUGAUUGUCCUCUCCUCAUAGUCCUUGACCUAGUGAACUAGCAUGAGGAUUUGGUUUUGAUGAAGGAUUUCUGCUCAGUGCUCUAAAUCUAAAUGUUUUCUUGGCUCUUAUUGGGGCAACACAGUGACUCUGAUAUCUGACAGAAUUCCAUUUUGAGAAGAUCUGAUUUGGAAAAAGCUGUAGCUUUUUCACUAUACAUUUAAAAUGAAACGUUUCUUAGGGUCUGUUUCGAAAAUAUUUCUACAAUAAAUAUACUUUUUGUAGUGUCAACGAACCAUUUCCUCUGAUUUUUAGAAGGACACGUUAUCCAGCAAGCAUCUGGACCAUGAGAUUCAUCCCAGUUAAAAACAUUUCUCACGUUUAGACAAGACUGUUUUCCAGGAUCGGCUUCAGAAAAGCUGAUGAUUUUCAUCUUGUCUUAUAUUAUCAUUUGCUGCAUUCCAAUGGAAAAAAAAAGACUUUGGAAACUUAAUCUUUUUAGUGGAGAGUCAUUAAAGAGAAGGUCUUUGGCCCUGUCUUUUAAAUUAGCUUAUUAUUUUCUCUCUUUAUUUCACUGCUCCCAAGUACAUGAACUCAAGAUUGCUCUAUUUUAUCCAUUAUUUCACCUGAAAGACCAAUUAGAGACAAUGAGAUGUGAUAGAUCCAUGAGGCACGACGGAAAAUUGCCAGUGUUUUAAAGAUGUUAAUGGAGGAGAGAUGCAAAAAUAUGUAUUUUUUUUCCCCCAGACACUGUAUUAAAUUGCUGUAUAGGAGUUUUAAUAAAGUUAGUCAAGUUAUAUAGAAAUGUACUAGUUUUAAGUGAUAAAUUCUCCAUCUGAUUAAUUGGCAAUUAACAUAUAACAAGGAUAAUUAAAGAUAAAUUAUUAGCCUAGCUUAUAUACUAAUGGAAUAGCCCAUUAAUUAAAUAUUUACUGUAUACUGUAUAACUUUACAGGUUGAA